Molecule: long non-coding RNA, 772 nt
Organism: Lontra canadensis (Northern American river otter)
Lineage: Eukaryota; Metazoa; Chordata; Mammalia; Carnivora; Mustelidae
Exons: 3
Source: RefSeq, a predicted model, not a curated record
AAUUAUGUCUUCUAUUUCUGUCAGCCUAGAAUGUCUUUCCUUCUGUUCAAGUACUACUCAUUCUUCAUAGCUGAAUUCCAGCCUCAAGCUCUCCAUAAAUAAUUUUCACAAUGACUUCAACUUGAAAAAUAUUUUCCAUUUGCAAUCUUCUUUAAACAAUCUUAGAAUUUAGGGUAAGAUAAUUUAUGGAAAUGUUUAUUUACAUUUUCUCUUCUCUUUCUUCAUCUUUUCUUUCCAUCUCUUCAAGUGAUUUAAUAAAGCUUGAGGCAAGAUGUUUUCUGGAUUAUGUUUCCAAAAGUCCAGAUGGUGAGCCUUCAAACUCUCCAGGCUGAGAGGACAAGGUGGUGUUGGUACUGGAAGAAAAGAGGACUUGCAAUGACUCCCUGGCAGGACCCAAGGACUUCAGGAUGGACACCGGUGCCUGAGGAGUUUCAAUCCUUACCCAGAGCUCUGAGCCAAAGAUACCUGUGUCUCAAAUAUGGCAGAAACAUAACAACGAAGCCUUGAAGUGACUAUACCAGCAACCCAGUGUUACAAGUGACCUUUUACGGAGCUCAGCAUUGAUUUAAAUAUGCUGAUGAAAUCACUUGGCUUGCAAGAUGUUUGAUAGAAAAAUGAAACCUUAAACUACCAACUGAGUUUGAACAGAUGAUGUUUUUCUGACUAACACACCAAUAUUCAUUAAACAGAAGUAUGUGUCCAAAGUUCAGAGACACAUUCUACUUGCUUAUUACAGAUCUAAACUUGAAUUUUCCUCUAGUCUUGUUCAGUU